CUCAGUGGAGUGGGAACCUGCGGAGGGAUCAUUA
RNAcentral lists this ribosomal RNA (34 nucleotides) under Trichoderma asperellum. RNAcentral describes it as "partial 18S ribosomal RNA". Lineage: Eukaryota; Fungi; Ascomycota; Sordariomycetes; Hypocreales; Hypocreaceae. The record is from RNAcentral.